Molecule: ribosomal RNA, 399 nt
Filed under: uncultured bacterium
Lineage: Bacteria
Description: bacterial SSU rRNA
Rfam family: Bacterial small subunit ribosomal RNA
Source: RNAcentral
GACGAACGCUGGCGGCGUGCUUAACACAUGCAAGUCGAGCGGUAAGGCCCUUUCGGGGGUACGACGAGCGGCGAACGGGUGGAGUAACACGUGGGUGGACCUCGCCCUCCAGCUCUGGGAGUAAGACCCGGGAAACCGUAGGGUCGUAAUACCGGAUAUGACUCCAUGACGCAUGUUGUGGGGUGGGAAAGCCUUGUGCGGCUGAGGAUGGGCCCGCGGCCUAUCAGCUUGUUGGUGGGGUGAUGGCCACCAAGGCGACGACGGGUAGCCGGCCUGAGAGGGCGACCGGCCACACUGGGGACUGAGAUACGGCCCAGACUCCUACGGGAGGCAGCAGUGGGGAAUCUUGCGCAAUGGGCGAAAGCCUGACGCAGCGACGCCGCGUGAGGGAUGACGGCC